This is a long non-coding RNA of Triticum dicoccoides, 546 nucleotides long. RefSeq lists it as uncharacterized. The transcript is spliced from 4 exons. NCBI's taxonomy places the organism in Eukaryota, Viridiplantae, Streptophyta, Magnoliopsida, Poales, Poaceae. The record is from RefSeq and is a predicted model, not a curated record.
CUCGUGGUUGUGCUUGCCCUCGUACGUGGUGAUCACGGACUUGAGGUCGUGCGACGCGCGCUCCACGUGCUUCCGCACCGAGCACCCCGGGUGCGUGCACUUGUAGUAGCUCCUGCAAUGCAAGCAGGAACAUCUCUGCUUGGUGCUGAUGGGUGCUGACUGUUGGGUAGAGAUCCCUGAAGGCAAAGGAACAGUGCAAGGAACAAGACUAUAUACAGUUUCACAUAACUGCUCACCUUCUUUCCUUCAGCAGUGUACUGUGAUGAUUUUAGGUCCAAAGGCUUGAAAGAAAAUGCACCGGGACGAUCUUCAAUUGAGGGAGGUUCAAGCCUAGUAUUAUUGUUGUUAUUGGUGUCACCAAGCAUGAGUAACUUCCCCGUGGUUGGCGAGGACUGGCCCUGAAUCACAGCAUUAGAAAACAUUCAGUCUGAAGCUGGAGAAAAUCACAACUAUGGAAAUUUAAACACAAUGCAUACCAUGGCAUUGGAGAGGAACACGGGCGAUUCCAGCAGCGACGCCGGGCUGAGGCCGGGCGGGAUGGUCAGG